This 817-nucleotide long non-coding RNA is filed under the name Neodiprion lecontei (redheaded pine sawfly). RNAcentral describes it as "uncharacterized LOC124295385". The record is from RNAcentral. Lineage: Eukaryota; Metazoa; Arthropoda; Insecta; Hymenoptera; Diprionidae.
UUGCACUGAAAUAGAAAUAAUCAGUCCGCGAGGAACUUCCCUUGGGUAACGCACAGCUGGAUUUCACCGCGGUUAUCGCUUUCUACAUUGUGGGUACACUCAACCGCGCCAGAAACCAUGAGCGCAACGAAUAAGGUGAGGGUAAAAUUCCGUACGCGAAAACAUAUACGGUGGAAAAAAGGGUCUACGAGAUUUUGCAAGAAUUGAAAAAAGACAGCUAGUCCGAGGACCUCUUUCCUGGCAUAAAUGCGACCAAAGUUAACAAACGUUUGGAUAAAAUAAUGCCGAAUCUUACUAUAAAGGUGUUCAGAACGUACAACGGAUCGCGAGAGAUGGAGGAUGAGCUCGAGAAGGCGACACCGGAUCUCGCCAAAGGAAAAUCCGUAUCCGCGGUGUAUACAGAAGCGUUGGAAAAAGUUAUAGCUGCAUAUUUGAACCAUCAACGAGCCGCUUCAAGCCCCGCAAAAAAGAAUUGGACCUUUUACCGGAAAAGAUGUCCACUCUAUCAGUGGACAAGCCUCCGCCAAGGAAGGAUACCGAUGGACUAAUGAAGGAAAUGCAGUGGAAUUCAUACAGCUCCGAGAUGUUCUACAUAGAUCACCGAGUCGUGAUUUUGUGGUGCAAGAAGAACGAUAUCCCAAUAGAAGAGAUCUACACUGGGAAAGGCCGCGAAUUCUUUAAAUGGGAAAUUGGCGAGCUCGAAAAGUUGCUCGAAAAAUAGCAGAAAGAGAAUAAACCAUUUAAGAAUUUUUAUUAUUAUUCGUAAUAUCUGAUUGUAAAUACGCGCCGAUGAAUUAAAGUAAUCAAGUCGCUGGUA